UACGUAGGGUGCGAGCGUUAAUCGGAAUUACUGGGCGUAAAGCGUGCGCAGGCGGUUCGCUGUGUCCUGGGUGAAAGCCCCGGGCUUAACCUGGGAAUGGCAUGGGAAACUGGCGGGCUGGAGUGUGGCAGAGGGGGGUGGAAUUCCGCGUGUAGCAGUGAAAUGCGUAGAGAUGCGGAGGAACACCGAUGGCGAAGGCAGCCCCCUGGGCUAACACUGACGCUCAGGCACGAAAGCGUGGGGAGCAAACAGG
RNAcentral lists this ribosomal RNA (253 nucleotides) under uncultured bacterium. RNAcentral's name for it is "partial 16S ribosomal RNA". It matches the Rfam family "Bacterial small subunit ribosomal RNA", at positions 524 to 776 of the family's 1533-position model. The record is from RNAcentral.